UACCACUAUUAAAGAAGCCGUCCUCUGAUCCAUUUUAGGACUUUUUUGAAUAAUAAGAUGUGCAGAUCGCCUCACCAGACACCCGCUGACAGGCCCAACUGGCAUUCAACGCUCAAAAUGGCUGCACAUCUGCCGGCCCCAGAGUCCGAGGGGUUUCCCGGGAUGUGGACUUUUCAAGGCUAACAUUGAGGCAGUCUGCAGCAAACUGGGAAUUUCGUCACCCUAGCAGAUGGAUGGACAGAGGACUAGAUGGGGAUGGAUGGAAAGAUGGACGAGAGAGUGACUGUAGACGAGGAGCAAGCCAAGGUACUGGAGGGUCUCCAACUCAUUCUCAUCUCACCAGCCUCAGCCCAGAGCUGCCAGCCCAGUGGAACCAUCUUGAGUUCUGAGGUAGGGGCAGUGUCCUGACGUGGGGGUCUGGGGGUCACAUGCUUUCUGUGGCCCAGCUCUGUCUUGGUUUGAAAGCAGUCUGCCUUCCAGAGCCGCCAACGCUGCCCCUCAUCUGGGGUCAUAUGAGCCUGUGUGCAGCCUCAUUUCUCAUCCUGGCCAUGGGGCUCUAGGACAGGACGCCAGGAGUCCAACGUGGCUCAUGUGCUGUUCCAACUUGUCGGGAGUUGAUGUACCUGUGCCCCAAAGGCCUCUGCCCUGACCGCCCUGCAGAUCCAAGCCUCAGCUUCAGGUCCCCCAAUCCUCCAGCUGCCCAGGCUGGGCUUGUGACAGGCAUGGGAGAGUGUGCGGCAGGUGUCCCUGCAUGCCUAGGCCUUUCUUUUUCAGAAUGAAAAUGUCCAGUUUGGGGGCACCUGGGUGGCUUAGUCAGUUAAGGGUCUGCCUUCGGCUCAGGUCAUGAUCCCAGGGUCCUGGGAUCAAGCCCCAAGUUGG
Mirounga angustirostris (Northern elephant seal) is the source of this 879-nucleotide long non-coding RNA. RefSeq lists it as uncharacterized. The transcript is spliced from 3 exons. The record is from RefSeq and is a predicted model, not a curated record. NCBI's taxonomy places the organism in Eukaryota, Metazoa, Chordata, Mammalia, Carnivora, Phocidae.